Molecule: ribosomal RNA, 500 nt
Filed under: uncultured bacterium
Lineage: Bacteria
Description: partial 16S ribosomal RNA
Rfam family: Bacterial small subunit ribosomal RNA
Source: RNAcentral
AUUGAACGCUGGCGGCAGGCCUAACACAUGCAAGUCGAGCGGCAGCGGGACCUUCGGGUUGCCGGCGAGCGGCGGACGGGUGAGUAAUGCCUAGGAAUCUGCCUGUUAGUGGGGGAUAACGCGGGGAAACUCGCGCUAAUACCGCAUACGUCCUACGGGAGAAAGCGGGGGCUCUUCGGACCUCGCGCUAACAGAUGAGCCUAGGUCGGAUUAGCUAGUUGGGGGGGUAAUGGCCCACCAAGGCGACGAUCCGUAACUGGUCUGAGAGGAUGAUCAGUCACCCUGGAACUGAGACACGGUCCAGACUCCUACGGGAGGCAGCAGUGGGGAAUAUUGGACAAGGGGCGAAAGCCUGAUCCAGCCAUGCCGCGUGUGUGAAGAAGGUCUUCGGAUUGUAAAGCACUUUAAGUCGGGAGGAAGGGCUGUAGGCUAAUACCUUGCAGUUUUGACGUUACCGACAGAAUAAGCACCGGCUAACUUCGUGCCAGCCGCCGCGGUAA